Molecule: long non-coding RNA, 2943 nt
Filed under: Gadus morhua (Atlantic cod)
Lineage: Eukaryota; Metazoa; Chordata; Actinopteri; Gadiformes; Gadidae
Description: lncRNA (ENSGMOG00000028580.1)
Source: RNAcentral
AGGUCAACAACACUUGUAUUAUUUAGUUAGUUUACUCUUUUACAGAUGCUACGCUCGCUGAUUCCGGUAUUGUCCUCAUCCAGAGUAAGAAGAGUUGGUGGGAUGCCCAGUCGUACUGCCGUGAACACCACACAGACCUGCCCAGCAUAAGGAACUUGGAGGAGAACAGUUUGUUCUCUAAAAUGAAUAAUCCCAAAGCAAAUAUAUGGAUUGGACUGCACCGGAACCUUUGGAGUACGUGGUCAGAUGGGAGCGACUCCUCGUACAGAGACUGGAGGCACAGAAUGCCCAACAACACUGAAAGGACCUUGACCAACUGCGCUAUGGCUCAUAUCUACUAUGGUUGGCAAUGGAGAGAUUAUUCCUGUCACCUGAAGUUCAAAUUUAUUUGUAGCGCGGGUAAGAUUUGCACUUAAUAUUUUGUUUAAACUAAUCUGUAUUUAUGUCUGCCAUUUAGACUUCAUGUCUGUCUGUGGGUCUGUGUGUCUGAAUUGGAGCUUUACAAUCAGCAAUUAGCUAAUCUUGAUAGUCGCAAUUUAUGUAUAAAAACAAACACAAAACUGAUACUUACAUAACCAAAGACAUAACAUAAAGCCGUUACAACUCAGCAAUUGUUAUUUUAUUAUAAUUGCUGUUUAUAUACAGCAGGCACCACAGAAUAUUCUUUGAAUUGCUAAUCUGUUAAUCACAAUGAAAUAAUCACGAUAACAAUAUCAUGUAAAAUAAUCGCAAAGAUAAAUCUUGAUUCUUGAGUUCUUCUGUCUUGUUGACUGGUUAAAUGCUAAAACAUUGUGCUUUCAGUUCCAGCCAUGAAGCAGUCGUUCAGAAUAAAGUUCAGCUCGACAGACAUCGACCCCAAUGACCCUGAAUUGAGUGAGGCGAUCCUCAAACAGUUGCACGGGAAGCUGAAGGAGAAGAUGGUGAACGAAGACCUCAAUCUGACUUGGACGAAGGCCCCAGACGGAGAGAUCUUCCACAACACACGCAAAGACGAGAAACAACAACAUCCUGAAUCUACAGCAACCUCUUCAACUAACCCACUGGUUCCCACCCUGUUUUGCCCUCUCAACUGAUUUUAGCGUUGUUUUAAUCAAAAUCUGCUGUUUUGCCACAUGACCUGAUUUUAGGGUUGUGAUUUUAAAGUUCUGCGUUCACAUGAUCAGCGCAUGUUUAGAGGACGAUUCCGGUAUUAACAACAUCACGAAGUAUCGUAGCGAAAUACAGUUUCUGUUGUGUUUUAUUUGGCGUUCCGUAAAUCCCAUUGAAACGGAAACCGGAACCGGACAUGUUUAUGUGUGGUUGUAGUCUUUUCGCUCGGUUCUCCGUAUCAACAGUAGGGCUAGAACCGAGCGAAAAGAUUACAAGCAACCCCCCUUGCAAUAAGCAAUGAGUCUUCCAACCGAAAUCAAUGGAUUUACAAAAUGCCAAAUAAAACACGACAGAAACUGUAUUUCGCUAUACCAUACUUGAUGAAACAAAAGAAGAUGAGGGUGUCUGCAAUUGCCUUGGGAGAGAGUAGACUCUAAACUCUCCCCAGGCAAUGCAGACACCCUGAAUUGUAAAUCCAGGGUUAGGGAUUAUUUACUAUCCAUGUUAAAAAGAGGAAGGAAUUAUGCCUCAGAUUGCAAUUUUUUUAAAUAUUGACUAUGCUUAAAGGAAGCAGGAUUAUUAUUUAAUUUUUCACUUUAUUUUUUGUUUUUACACAUUUGAAGAUUUUAUUUAAAGUCACAAAAUCACAAGUUGUCUUGUUAUCUUUAUUGUUGUUGUUGAUCCGAAAAUGAUCCGAUCCGUGACUCAAAAACCGUGACACGAUCCGAACCGUGAGUUUUGUGAUCCGUUGCACCCCAACACUAUACUAUACUACCUAUGUAGAAUGGCGUUACGUAGGUCUGAAAACUAGAAAUUAAAGAUAAUAUUCUGAUACUGCUGAAACAGCUCUAGAAUUGCCCAGUUUUAUAUUAUUAAUAAAUAAUGAUGAGAAUAGUGAGAUGGAUCGGACCCAAACAAUCAAAUGUGUCCAAUCUGAUCAUAUGUAAUAAUCUCUCUCCGUCUCCACAAUGUUUGAUACUGGCAGCCAUGCAAAGUCUUCCUUUGACUCAAACUGCACGGUCCAAGAUACCCCUCCCUUCCUCGCCCUGUCUCGUCUGUCUCAGUGUUAGUUGGACUAUGGAGGAGGACUUGGUAUUGAUUUGCCCGUAACCGAACUUCAAAACCUGAUGCAAACAAAGAUAUUGGCCUGUAAAUCCAAGAGGUUGAAAUGCAAAAUCCAAUUCAAUCCAAUGAAUAUAGUUUAGUAGAACAUAAUUUAUUAAUAUUGGAAGGAUAGUGUAGUGGUUGGGGUCUUGGACUCUCAUCUGAAGGGUUCUUGGUUCAAUGUCCACAGUUCUACUGUAGGACUCCUACAUCAAGAUGCUCCCUAACCUCUACCCCAUGAUCUGUAACCAAAUGAACUUUUGUUUUAUGCGAUGAGAUGACAAGUAGAUGUGUGGUUAGUUAUUUAUAAAACAGAUAGUGCCGAUCCUUGGUUCUGAUAGACAUUUAGCAGUUGUAAAAUACUCUGUAAACAUAGUCCUGUGACCUCAUAACAAUUCAUUUUAGAUUGAAUGCACAGCCAAUCUCACAGUAAGCUAGUCUGUGUUGCUUGGCAACUGUUGCUGUUGUUGUUGUCUUUAGGAAAUGUUGCUUUGCGGUAGAACAAUGUUUAUUUUCAAUAAUUGAUCACCUUUUACGUUGCUGAGUUUAUUUGUUUAAAUCUCACAAAAAGAUACUGUCUUAGUAGCCAUUUAAUAAAAGCAAAAACAUCACCGUGAUCCAUUGUCUUAAUCAGUCAUUCAAUAUAAGAUAUUAGUUAUUACUCACAUAUAUAGAUUUGAAUAUAGGGAUUAGCUAUUAGAUGUUAUUCAUUUAUUAGCCAGUAUAACUUUAUUAGGUAUUGGGGAUUAU